GCAACGCCGCGUGAGGGAGGACGGCCUUCGGGUUGUAAACCUCUUUCGACACCGACGAAGGCCCUUUUGGGUUUGACGGUAGGUGUGGAAGAAGCACCGGCUAACUACGUGCCAGCAGCCGCGGUAAUACGUAGGGUGCGAGCGUUGUCCGGAUUUAUUGGGCGUAAAGAGCUCGUAGGCGGUUUGUCGCGUCGGCCGUGAAAA
This 204-nucleotide ribosomal RNA is filed under the name uncultured bacterium. RNAcentral's name for it is "partial 16S ribosomal RNA". It matches the Rfam family "Bacterial small subunit ribosomal RNA", at positions 391 to 600 of the family's 1533-position model. The record is from RNAcentral.